AGCGCAGGCGGUUGUUUAAGUCUGAAGUUAAAGGCUGUGGCUCAACCAUAGUAUGCUUUGGAAACUGGACAACUUGAGUGCAGAAGGGGAGAGUGGAAUUCCAUGUGUAGCGGUGAAAUGCGUAGAUAUAUGGAGGAACACCGGUGGCGAAAGCGGCUCUCUGGUCUGUAACUGACGCUGAGGCUGAAAGCAUGGGUAGCGAACA
This 205-nucleotide ribosomal RNA is filed under the name uncultured bacterium. RNAcentral's name for it is "partial 16S ribosomal RNA". It matches the Rfam family "Bacterial small subunit ribosomal RNA", at positions 568 to 774 of the family's 1533-position model. The record is from RNAcentral.